UACAGAGGGUGCAAGCGUUAAUCGGAAUUACUGGGCGUAAAGCGUGCGUAGACGGUUAUGUAAGUCAGGUGUGAAAGCCCCGGGCUCAACCUGGGAAUUGCAUUUGAGACUGCAUAGCUAGGGUGCGGAAGAGGGAAGCGGAAUUUCCGGUGUAGCGGUGAAAUGCGUAGAUAUCGGAAGGAACAUCAGUGGCGAAAGCGGCUUCCUGGACCAGUACCGACGUUCAGGCACGAAAGCGUGGGGAGCAAACAGG
This 253-nucleotide ribosomal RNA is filed under the name uncultured bacterium. RNAcentral describes it as "partial 16S ribosomal RNA". It matches the Rfam family "Bacterial small subunit ribosomal RNA", at positions 524 to 776 of the family's 1533-position model. The record is from RNAcentral.